RNAcentral lists this ribosomal RNA (341 nucleotides) under uncultured soil bacterium. Its description in RNAcentral is "bacterial SSU rRNA". It matches the Rfam family "Bacterial small subunit ribosomal RNA", at positions 26 to 371 of the family's 1533-position model. The record is from RNAcentral.
AGAUUGAACGCUGGCGGCAUGCCUUACACAUGCAAGUCGAACGGCAGCACGGGAGCAAUCCUGGUGGCGAGUGGCGAACGGGUGAGUAAUAUAUCGGAACGUGCCCAGUCGUGGGGGAUAACGCAGCGAAAGCUGUGCUAAUACCGCAUACGAUCUAUGGAUGAAAGCGGGGGAUCGCAAGACCUCGCGCGAUUGGAGCGGCCGAUAUCAGAUUAGCUAGUUGGUGGGUAAAAGCCUACCAAGGCGACGAUCUGUAGCUGGUCUGAGAGGACGACCAGCCACACUGGAACUGAGACACGGUCCAGACUCCUACGGGAGGCAGCAGUGGGAAGUUUGUAGAA